GACGAACGCUGGCGGCGUGCUUAACACAUGCAAGUCGAGCGGUAAGGCCCUUUCGGGGGUACGACGAGCGGCGAACGGGUGAGUAACACGUGGGUGACCUGCCCUCAGCUCUGGGAUAAGCCCGGGAAACUGGGUCUAAUACCGGAUAUGACUCCAUGACGCAUGUUGUGGGGUGGAAAGCCUUGUGCGGCUGAGGAUGGGCCCGCGGCCUAUCAGCUUGUUGGUGGGGUGAUGGCCACCAAGGCGACGACGGGUAGCCGGCCUGAGAGGGCGACCGGCCACACUGGGACUGAGAUACGGCCCAGACUCCUACGGGAGGCAGCAGUGGGGAAUCUUGCGCAAUGGGCGAAAGCCUGACGCAGCGACGCCGCGUGAGGGAUGACGGCCU
This 388-nucleotide ribosomal RNA is filed under the name uncultured bacterium. Its description in RNAcentral is "bacterial SSU rRNA". It matches the Rfam family "Bacterial small subunit ribosomal RNA", at positions 28 to 417 of the family's 1533-position model. The record is from RNAcentral.